UACGUAGGGUGCGAGCGUUAAUCGGAAUUACUGGGCGUAAAGCGUGCGCAGGCGGCGCCGCAAGUCAGGCGUGAAAUCCCCGAGCUUAACUUGGGAAUGGCGCUUGAAACUACGGUGCUGGAGUGUGGCAGAGGGAGGUGGAAUUCCACGUGUAGCGGUGAAAUGCGUAGAGAUGUGGAGGAACACCAAUGGCGAAGGCAGCCUUCUGGGCCAACACUGACGCUCAUGCACGAAAGCGUGGGGAGCAAACAGG
Molecule: ribosomal RNA, 253 nt
Filed under: uncultured bacterium
Lineage: Bacteria
Description: partial 16S ribosomal RNA
Rfam family: Bacterial small subunit ribosomal RNA
Source: RNAcentral